This 619-nucleotide long non-coding RNA is filed under the name Ursus maritimus (polar bear). RNAcentral's name for it is "lncRNA (ENSUMAG00000001590.1)". The record is from RNAcentral. Lineage: Eukaryota; Metazoa; Chordata; Mammalia; Carnivora; Ursidae.
CCUGUGCCAGUGCACCUCAAGUUUUAUUAGCUUCCUGAUAAAUCGUCUCUGCCUCCCAGCCAUUGAAGCAUCUUCAGCUGCCAGAGUAAUGUUUUAAAAAGGCAUUUUAAAUGGUCCUUAGCAGCACGGACAUCCAACCGUGGAGGCCUGGGGCUUCUAUGAGAGCCCUCAGAAGUGGCUCCGGCGCGUGAACACCACCGUCGUGUUGGCAAAUUACAACAGUGAGAGGAGCUGAUUACAUAGCAGAUCUAGCCAACAGGUUGCAGCUUGCAGAGAAACGUAAUCAGUGGGAAGUUUUGUGGUCAAUCACUAGAAACUGGGGAGCAUCAGAGGAAAGGACCGCUGCUCUCAGUCCAUGCUUGGAAAGAUGGAAAGCUUUGAGUAGUACCAUUUGUGUGUCCCACAUGUUGUGCGAAGGAGAAAUACCAUUUGUCUUCAUGGUCCAGUAGCCAUCCCCCUUCCAUGGUCAAUAAGAGAAAGUCUGAUCUUCUAGAGGGGAAAGUACCAUUUUGGACCAGAGUGUGAAUCUGUCUACUGGACUGCAAUAGGAGACGUACUUCUAAUCUAGUGCUAACCUCCUGACAGAUGUGUAGAACUGGGACACCUGCUUUAAGGCAGC